AUGGGGGACUUCAAUCACCCUGAUACCUGUCGGAGGGACAACACAGCAAGGCACAAGCAAGCCAGGAAGUUCCUGGAAUGCGUCGAUGACAACUUCCUUCUCCAAGGGAUAGAGGAGCCGAUGGAGAGGGGUGCCAUGCUGGACCUUGUUCUCACCAACAGGGUGGGGCUGUGAAUUACUGAAAAUGGCAAAAUGAUCACAGACCUUGAGAAAACCAAAAAACAAGAUGAAGUGGAAAAAUCUGAGCUGCAGUUAGCUCUGGAAGAGGCAUAGGCAGCUCUUGAGCAUGAAGAGGUCAAAUCCUUGGUGUCAACCAAGAACUUGCACAGAUUAAGUCAGAAAUCAACAGAAAGAUUGCUGAGAAAGAAAGAUGAAGAGAUUAGUCAGUUAAAAAUGAACCAUCAAAGGGCUGUGGAGACAAUUCAGGGUGUUUAGGAUGCUGAGAUCAGGCGCAGAAGUGAAUCCUUAGGCUGAAGAAGAAGAAGAUGGAGGGAGAACUGAAUGAAAUGGUGAUCCAGCUGAGCCAUGCCAACUGCCAGGCUGUUGAGGCACAGAAACACCUACACAGCAUCCAGAGAGUUCUCAAGCCGUUGGACAUGCAGCUCCACUUGGACGAUGCUCUCAGGACGCAGGAGGACCUGAAGGAGCAAGUGGCCAUGGUGGAGCGCAGGGCAAACCUGCUGCAGGCUGAAGUUGAGGAGCUACGGGCAGCCCUGGAGCAGACGGAGCGGUCGAGGAAGGUGGCUGAGCAGGAACUUCUGGAUGCCAACGGACAUGUGCACCUCCUCCAUACUCAAAACACCAGCCUUUCUAAUGCAAAGAAGCAGCUUGAAACUGACAGGGCACAAAUCCAAAUUGAGACAGAUGAUGUUACUAAUGCAGCAAAAAAUGCUGAGUAAAGAACAAAGGAGGCAAUCACAGAUGUGGCCAUGAUGGCAGAAGAGCUGAAGAAAAAGCAGCACCAGUGGUCACCUAGAGAGGAUGAAAAAGAACCUGGACCAGAUGGUGAAGGACCUCCAGCACCAUCUGGAUGAGGCUGAGCAGUUGGCGCUGAAGGGAGGCAAGAAGCAACUCUUGAAGAUGGAGGCUAGAAUCCAAGAGUUGGAAGCUGAGCUGGAAGUAUAAUAUAAACAAUCUGCAGAGGCUAUGAAAAAAUCCACAAAGAUGAAAGGUGUGUCAAAGAGUUUACUUUCCAGAAUGAAGAACACAGGAAGAACAUGAGGAGGUUACAAGGUCUGGUAGAUAAGCUGCAGAAGAAAAUCAAAUCCUACAAAAGACAAGAUGAGGAGGCUUAUGAACAAGCCAAUACUAGUCUCUCCAAAUUCAGAAAAGUAUAAGCUAGAAGAGACUGAGGAAAGGGCAGAUAUUGCUGUGUGUCAAGUAAACAAGCUCAGAGCUAAAACCUGAGAAGUCCCUUCUACUAAG
RNA transcript from Eurypyga helias (sunbittern), 1425 nucleotides. It is a transcript of the gene named myosin-8-like, with no coding region annotated. The transcript is spliced from 9 exons. The record is from RefSeq and is a predicted model, not a curated record. NCBI's taxonomy places the organism in Eukaryota, Metazoa, Chordata, Aves, Eurypygiformes, Eurypygidae.